UACCAGCACCCCGAGUGGUCGGGACGAUUAUUGGGCCUAAAGCAUCCGUAGCCGGUUCUACAAGUCUUCCGUUAAAUCCACCUGCUCAACAGUUGGGCUGCGGAGGAUACUAUAAGACUAGGAGGCAGGAGAGGCAAGCGGUACUCAGUGGGUAGGGGUAAAAUCCGUUGAUCCAUUGAAGACCACCAGUGGCGAAGGCGGCUUGCCAGAAUGCGCUCGACGGUGAGGGAUGAAAGCUGGGGGAGCAAACCGG
Molecule: ribosomal RNA, 253 nt
Filed under: uncultured bacterium
Lineage: Bacteria
Description: partial 16S ribosomal RNA
Rfam family: Archaeal small subunit ribosomal RNA
Source: RNAcentral